GCUGGAGUGGCGAAACUGGCAGCACGCUUGGGUCUUAAAAACCCAUGGUAGAGAUACCAUACGGGUUCGACUCCCGUCUCCAGCACCA
This 88-nucleotide transfer RNA is filed under the name Clostridia bacterium. RNAcentral describes it as "tRNA-Leu". It matches the Rfam family "tRNA". Rfam says of the family: Transfer RNA (tRNA) molecules are approximately 80 nucleotides in length. Their secondary structure includes four short double-helical elements and three loops (D, anti-codon, and T loops). Further hydrogen bonds mediate the characteristic L-shaped molecular structure. tRNAs have two regions of fundamental functional importance: the anti-codon, which is responsible for specific mRNA codon recognition, and the 3' end, to which the tRNAs corresponding amino acid is attached (by aminoacyl-tRNA synthetases). tRNAs cope with the degeneracy of the genetic code in two manners: having more than one tRNA (with a specific anti-codon) for a particular amino acid; and 'wobble' base-pairing, i.e. permitting non-standard base-pairing at the 3rd anti-codon position. The record is from RNAcentral. Lineage: Bacteria; Bacillati; Bacillota; Clostridia.